CAACACCUAUAAAUCUUCCCGUUAACCGAGACCUAUGGGAAGUAAAAUUACGUCUCUCAUAUCCACUAGUGAAGGGAUUAGUGGAAAUACAGUAUCGC
RNAcentral lists this non-coding RNA (98 nucleotides) under unclassified sequences. RNAcentral's name for it is "PhotoRC-II RNA". It matches the Rfam family "PhotoRC-II RNA". The record is from RNAcentral.